GACGAACGCUGGCGGCGCGCUUAACACAUGCAAGUCGAACGGAAAGGCCUGCUUUCCCUUGUGGAUUGCGGGUACUCGAGUGUCGAACGGGUGAGUAACACGUGAGUGAUCUGCCCCCAACUUGGGUAUAAGCCUGGGAAACUGGGUCUAAUUCCCGAUAGGACUGCAGGGUGGUGCCUGUGGUGGAAAACGAUUUUCUAGUGGUUGGGGAUGAGCUCGCGGCCUAUCAGCUUGUUGGUGGGGUAAUGGCCUACCGAGGCGGCGACGGGUAGCCGGCCUGAGAGGGUGGACGGCAACAUUGGGACUGAGAUACGGCGCAGACUCCCACGGGAGGCAGAAGGGGGGAAUAUUGAACAAGGGGAGGAAGCCUGAUGCAGCGACGCCGCGUGGGGGAUGAAGGACUUCGGGUUGUAAACUCCUUUCGAGCGCGAGGAAGCCACCUGGUUGGAAGGGUGGUGACGGUAGUGGUAGAAGAAGCACCGGCUAACUACGUG
This 494-nucleotide ribosomal RNA is filed under the name uncultured bacterium. Its description in RNAcentral is "partial 16S ribosomal RNA". It matches the Rfam family "Bacterial small subunit ribosomal RNA", at positions 28 to 507 of the family's 1533-position model. The record is from RNAcentral.